This is a long non-coding RNA of Pan paniscus (pygmy chimpanzee), 569 nucleotides long. The record is from Ensembl. Lineage: Eukaryota; Metazoa; Chordata; Mammalia; Primates; Hominidae.
AAUAUAUUUUUGAAAAGCUUUCUUGUUUGGGAAGCUGUACACACUUCUAAAAUCAUUUAGGUAAUUAAUUAGGAUACCGAAGAUAAUAAUUUAAUAUCACAUACUUUUGUACUUUGUUCCUGCAUGUUUGACGGACAGGAGAAGUUGAUGGUGACUGAAAUUCUGAAAAUAUGCAGUCAGCACUUUUGUCUUCAUGGAAAGUGAACACAUUUGGAAAUAUUGGAUCAGCAUUGCAGCUAUACCCUUUAGACAGGAAACACACUUUCCAGUUCUCCUUGGCAGAGAGGCUGAAGGAUCUGUGUCUAUUGUCCUUGUUUUUUAUGUCAAUGUUGGAAGAGAAGCCUAAGCAAUACUAGAAGAAAAUAAACAGAGAGAGUGAAUGAAGAAAUUCUGUAGUAAAAUUAAAAGAAAGUAAAGCCAGAGUGACCUCCAAUAAGUGAAAAUGAAGCUCCCUCUCUAUUAGAAAAAUCAGCAAAUGAUAGUCUGGAAUCAUAGGGAGUGAAUAUGAUAGGCAACUAGGUGCACUUGCCAGGUUAUAUGUUUUCCCCAAAAUAUAUUAUGUUGAGGGA